This 635-nucleotide ribosomal RNA is filed under the name uncultured bacterium. RNAcentral describes it as "bacterial SSU rRNA". It matches the Rfam family "Bacterial small subunit ribosomal RNA", at positions 62 to 695 of the family's 1533-position model. The record is from RNAcentral.
UCGAACGAAGCAGGGGGGCGGAAUCUCUCCGGAGGGGAAGCCCCCCUGACUGAGUGGCGGACGGGUGAGUAACGCGUGGACAACCUACCCCGCACUGGGGGACAACAGCCGGAAACGGCUGCUAAUACCGCAUAUGCGCACGGCCCCGCAUGGGGCCGCGCGGAAAGCGCAUGCGGUGCGGGAUGGGUCCGCGUCUGAUUAGCUUGUUGGCGGGGUAGCGGCCCACCAAGGCGACGAUCAGUAGCCGGCCUGAGAGGGUGGACGGCCACAUUGGGACUGAGACACGGCCCAGACUCCUACGGGAGGCAGCAGUGGGGGAUAUUGCACAAUGGGGGCAACCCUGAUGCAGCGACGCCGCGUGAGCGAUGGAGUACUUCGGUAUGUAAAGCUCUGUCAGCAGGGAAGAGAAUGACGGUACCUGACCAAGAAGCCCCGGCUAAAUACGUGCCAGCAGCCGCGGUAAUACGUAUGGGGCAAGCGUUAUCCGGAUUUACUGGGUGUAAAGGGAGCGUAGGCGGCAGGGCAAGCCUGAUGUGAAAGCCCGGGGCUCAACCCCGGGACUGCAUUGGGAACUGCCCCGCUCGAGUGCCGGAGGGGCAGGCGGAAUUCCUAGUGUAGCGGUGAAAUGCGUAGAU